This 707-nucleotide long non-coding RNA is filed under the name Panax ginseng (ginseng). Its description in RNAcentral is "long non-coding RNA (PGIN_LNC003555)". Lineage: Eukaryota; Viridiplantae; Streptophyta; Magnoliopsida; Apiales; Araliaceae. The record is from RNAcentral.
UGGGCAUUUUUGUACAUAGCAAUUAAAUGUAGUAUUUAAUCACUAGAUGGUAAUUCUUAUCAUUUACCAAUUAAUUCUAUCCUUUGGUAAAUUAAAACUUUUAUACAUUAACAUCGUAAUUAAACCCGAUAAUUUUAAAUUAGGGUUUUCUAUAAAAAAUUAGGGUUUUCUAAUUAGGGUUUCUUAACGCCAUCAAUUAGGGUUUCUAAUUGACCAUUAGGGUUCUCUAAUUAUCUGUGUAUGUUCUAACACAGUCAUUACGAUCUCUAACUUCAACCGAUUAGGGUUGUAAUAAUUAGGGUUUGUCCUAAUUAUCGACAUACAACAGUAAUUAGGGUUUUCUUCUAAUUACCGACAUCUUAUACACAGUAACCUUCAUAUACACAGUCACUACUCAGUCAUAUCUCGUAACUGAGUUUAAUAAUUAGGGUUUCACAGCACGGUAAUAUGCUAUGACCUAAUUGACUGUCAUUGCUCAAUAUUAUCUGUCCGCACAUACACAGUACAUAAUUAUUGUACUGUAAAAUCAUUAUAAUAAUAAUAUAAUAUUAUUAUUCUCAUCUCUUGAUCACAAUCCCAAUUCAGGGUUUGAAUCUCAUAUCUGACUUCUCUUCGUACACAACAUCGAUUAUCAAGCUAAAAUAAUUAACUUAAAUAUUCUGAACAAAUCAUAUAAUAAAAUAUUUAUUAUAUAAUUCUAAUUAUCA